RNAcentral lists this ribosomal RNA (422 nucleotides) under uncultured bacterium. Its description in RNAcentral is "bacterial SSU rRNA". It matches the Rfam family "Bacterial small subunit ribosomal RNA", at positions 355 to 774 of the family's 1533-position model. The record is from RNAcentral.
UGAGGAAUAUUGGUCAAUGGACGGAAGUCUGAACCAGCCAUGCCGCGUGGAGGAAGAAGGUCCUAUGGGUUGUAAACUCCUUUUGUUCCAGAGUAAUAAGGGCUUUGCGAAGCCUGAUGAGAGUAUGGGACGAAUAAGCAUCGGCUAACUCCGUGCCAGCAGCCGCGGUAAUACGGAGGAUGCAAGCGUUAUCCGGAUUUAUUGGGUUUAAAGGGUGCGCAGGCGGGCUGUUAAGUCAGCGGUGAAAUCUCCCGGCUCAACCGGGGAACUGCCGUUGAUACUGGCAGCCUAGAGUACGGACGGCGCCGGCGGAAUGUGUCAUGUAGCGGUGAAAUGCUUAGAUAUGCCACAGAACACCUAUCGCGGAGGCAGCUGGCGAGGCCGGAACUGACGCUCAGGCACGAAAGCGUGGGGAUCAAACA